CCUUUUCGCGAAUUUUUCACGGUCUCACAGUGCCCCCUAGUGACCAGAAAGCAGAAUGCAGAUCUUCACAUCUUUCUUUGAUAUAGGGAAGAAGAAACCUUUAUGUUGAUUGGCUGACUCUUAGUAUAUCGUUGAUAUGAUUGGACCAAUAGGCACAAUUGAUAGAAUAGAAUUUAAUACGCUACUAUUGGUCAAUAUUGGUGGAAUCUCUACGAAUGAGAAUGCGUGAGACAUUGUCAAAUUAACCAAUAACAGAUAAGAAAUCAAAAUCUUUCCACCUGACAUAAUGGUAAUAAUAAUUUUGUCCGCAAGGCGGCGCUUCUGUAUCAGCACGUCAUUGCACUUUGCAGCUAUUGUUGUCAUUUGAGUUGUGGUCACAGUGACACAUAACAUGGUGGCGAUGCUUCAGACGCGACGCAGAGAAGCUGGGAAUGUUUAGAGGGUUCGGUGGGUCGCCAACCAGCCUUUCAUCCGUUACUGCAAACUUCCAGCACAACCACGAGGGACAAUAUGUGCCGUCUUCACAGACAGGGGAAAGCUUUUGAUGAUGUUGACAACAAGAACCAUAUCAUUGUUGUUUCUAAGAAACAUUGGGAACACAAGGGACGAAUUCAGAAAUGAAUACUUCUUUUCACCAAUGUUUUGUAUCAUAGUGUGCGUAAUUAUAAUCCUUGAACUUCGUCGUGACAUGUGCGAACAGUUAAAAGAACUACACUGCUUUUCUUAAGCGUAUGCUUCCUACAACUGAUAUUUGAUAUAAUGAUAUUGCCCAAACGUCUUUCAUUUACAAUAAACAUAUGACGGUUCCGAAUACGGGUCUCGUAUAUUGUGAACUGAAAGAAG
This is a long non-coding RNA of Branchiostoma floridae (Florida lancelet), 843 nucleotides long. RefSeq lists it as uncharacterized. The record is from RefSeq and is a predicted model, not a curated record. NCBI's taxonomy places the organism in Eukaryota, Metazoa, Chordata, Leptocardii, Amphioxiformes, Branchiostomatidae. The transcript has 3 exons.